Molecule: non-coding RNA, 177 nt
Filed under: Acetivibrio straminisolvens
Lineage: Bacteria; Bacillati; Bacillota; Clostridia; Acetivibrionales; Acetivibrionaceae
Also listed under: 1 other name
Description: Clostridium straminisolvens GlcN6P sequence
Rfam family: glmS glucosamine-6-phosphate activated ribozyme aptamer
About the family: This entry contains a glucosamine-6-phosphate activated ribozyme that is found in the mRNA for GlmS. GlmS is an enzyme that uses fructose-6-phosphate and glutamine to generate glucosamine-6-phosphate.
Source: RNAcentral
AUGCAAUUGAAAGCGCCAGCACGUGUUUUUCCACGUGGACGAGGAGAAGGAGGUCACCGGUAAUUUUAAAAUCGGUGAGUUAUCGAAUUUUCGGCGGAAACCUUCCGGUUGUCACGACCGUUAGGGUCCUACAAAAACUGCGGGCAACUGCAGAACAAAAAGGAUCUAAGUGAAUUU